RNAcentral lists this ribosomal RNA (139 nucleotides) under uncultured Pseudomonas sp. RNAcentral's name for it is "partial 16S ribosomal RNA". It matches the Rfam family "Bacterial small subunit ribosomal RNA", at positions 393 to 524 of the family's 1533-position model. The record is from RNAcentral. Lineage: Bacteria; Pseudomonadati; Pseudomonadota; Gammaproteobacteria; Pseudomonadales; Pseudomonadaceae.
CAUGCCGCGUGUGUGAAGAAGGUCUUCGGAUUGUAAAGCACUUUAAGUUGGGAGGAAGGGCAGUAAGCUAAUACCUUGCUGUUUUGACGUUACCGACAGAAUAAGCACCGGCUAACUCUGUGCCAGCAGCCGCGGUAAU